GCCUGGGUGGCUCAGUCGGUUAAGUGUCUGACUUCAGCUCAGGUCAUGAUCUCACGGUUCGUGGGUUCACGCCCCACAUCGGGCU
RNAcentral lists this transfer RNA (85 nucleotides) under Felis catus (domestic cat). It matches the Rfam family "tRNA". From Rfam's summary of the family: Transfer RNA (tRNA) molecules are approximately 80 nucleotides in length. The record is from Rfam by way of RNAcentral. RNAcentral also lists the same sequence under 1 other name. Lineage: Eukaryota; Metazoa; Chordata; Mammalia; Carnivora; Felidae.